GACGAACGCUGGCGGCGUGCUUAACACAUGCAAGUCGAACGGAAAGGCCCUGCUUUUGUGGGGUGCUCGAGUGGCGAACGGGUGAGUAACACGUGAGUAACCUGCCCUUGACUUUGGGAUAACUUCAGGAAACUGGGGCUAAUACCGGAUAGGAGCUCCUGCUGCAUGGUGGGGGUUGGAAAGUUUCGGCGGUUGGGGAUGGACUCGCGGCUUAUCAGCUUGUGGGUGGGGUAGUGGCUUACCAAGGCUUUGACGCGUAGUCGGCCUGAGAGGGUGACCUGCCACAUUGGGAAUGAGGUACGGCCCAGACUCCUACGGGAGGCAACAGUGGGGAAUAUUGCACAAUGGGCGGAAGCCUGAUGCAGCAACGCCGCGUGCGGGAUGACGGCCUUCGGGUUGUAAACCGCUUUCGCCUGUGACGAAGCGUGAGUGACGGUAAUGGGUAAAGAAGCACCGGCUAACUACGUG
This 468-nucleotide ribosomal RNA is filed under the name uncultured bacterium. RNAcentral describes it as "partial 16S ribosomal RNA". It matches the Rfam family "Bacterial small subunit ribosomal RNA", at positions 28 to 507 of the family's 1533-position model. The record is from RNAcentral.